AAUCACGAAAUCACUAAGGCGUUAACUUUCCUUCAGGCGUUGUCUAGCUAGCCCUCGGCUAACCGUCCUGCGGCGGGUGAGGUAAUGGCGCUCUGGGGGAGAAGCGGCGGGGGAAACGUUGCUUUACAGCCCGAGGGCUCCCUUCAGUGAAGAAGAUUACGAAAAUAAAACACGGCUAUGGCCAAAUGGGCGUUAUUUUAAAAUACAGUUGCAGUGGUUGAAUUAGCUGCGGUCACAUUUGGGCACGACGUCUGCUACUAGCUAAAUGCUGUUUCUCUUAGAUUUGUGAAAUUGAUUUCUAACACACUUGGCAUGACUUUUGUUUGACAAAAUUGACGGUCCAUUAGUAAAGUGCUCUAGGUCAAUUGUACCUCACGAGGAAGAGAGCUGAUAUUGUUCUGGACAUUUUGAUAUGAAACAUGGGGAUCAUGCUUCAAUAGUGCGGUGGCUGACGUGGACCCUGCUGUGUUGGAUGCUUCACACGUGUACUCUCCUCCAUCCUGCUCCUGCACGCUCGGCACACGCAGCACGCCCCGCUGAAGGUCCUGCUCAGUGAUCAGCUCCAACCUGAGCUCCAGACGUCCUGAGGGAGACACGCUGGGGGGUGGGGUGCCAGUGGCGCUGCACUCCAGAGCCGCAUCCGCACCGAUGAGCGCUGUCACCACUCGCUGUGCGAGCGACACGCUGGGC
Molecule: long non-coding RNA, 690 nt
Organism: Electrophorus electricus (electric eel)
Lineage: Eukaryota; Metazoa; Chordata; Actinopteri; Gymnotiformes; Gymnotidae
Source: RefSeq, a predicted model, not a curated record